GGGGAUAAUUCCGGAUAACGCACAUAUGCUGGAAUGCUUUUUGCGUAAAAUGGAUUCGUCUGCCCAAGGAUGGGUCUGCGGCCUAUCAGGUAGUAGUGGGUGUAAUGUACCUACUAGCCUACGACGGGUACGGGUUGUGAGAGCAAGAGCCCGGAGAUGGAUUCUGAGACAUGAAUCCAGGCCCUACGGGGCGCAGCAGGCGCGAAAACUUUACAAUGCGGGAAACCGUGAUAAGGGGACACCGAGUGCCAGCAUCCUAUGCUGGCUGUCCAGGUGUGCAAAAUACACCUGUUAGCAAGGGCCGGGCAAGACCGGUGCCAGCCGCCGCGGUAACACCGGCGGCCCGAGUGGUGAUCGUGAUUAUUGGGUCUAAAGGGUCCGUAGCCGGUUUGGUCAGUCCUCCGGGAAAUCUGACAGCUCAACUGUUAGGCUUUCGGAGGAUACUGCCAGACUUGGAACCGGGAGAGGUAAGAGGUACUACAGGGGUAGGAGUGAAAUCUUGUAAUCCCUGUGGGACCACCUGUGGCGAAGGCGUCUUACCAGAACGGGUUCGACGGUGAGGGACGAAAGCUGGGGGCACGAACCGGAUUAGAUACCCGGGUAGUCCCAGCCGUAAACGAUGCUCGCUAGGUGUCAGGCAUGGCGCGACCGUGUCUGGUGCCGCAGGGAAGCCGUGAAGCGAGCCACCUGGGAAGUACGGCCGCAAGGCUGAAACUUAAA
RNAcentral lists this ribosomal RNA (720 nucleotides) under uncultured archaeon. RNAcentral's name for it is "bacterial SSU rRNA". It matches the Rfam family "Archaeal small subunit ribosomal RNA", at positions 142 to 860 of the family's 1478-position model. The record is from RNAcentral.